This 330-nucleotide ribosomal RNA is filed under the name uncultured bacterium. RNAcentral's name for it is "bacterial SSU rRNA". It matches the Rfam family "Bacterial small subunit ribosomal RNA", at positions 28 to 334 of the family's 1533-position model. The record is from RNAcentral.
GACGAACGCUGGCGGCGUGCUUAACACAUGCAAGUCGAACGGAGUGCCCUUGAAAGAGGCUUCGGCCAAUGGAUGGGAACACUUAGUGGCGGACUGGUGAGUAACGCGUGAGGAACCUGCCUUUCAGAGGGGGACAACAGUUGGAAACAGAUGCUAAUACCGGAUAACAACACUAGACGCAUGUCUAGAGUUUGAAAGAUGGUUCUGCUAUCACUCUUGGAUGGACCUGCGGUGCAUUAGCUAGUUGGUAAGGUAACGGCUUACCAAGGCAAUGAUGCAUAGCCGAGUUGAGAGACUGAUCGGCCACAUUGGGACUGAGACACGGCCCAA